AUGGCGUCGCCGUGGCUCAGGUGCAAAACGGAUGCAGCUCCGUGCACCACCGGGUUGCAGCACAUCGCGGCACACCGUCGUCGUCGUAGCAAAAACGGUUGGCUGGCUGCAGCUUUUGUGUUGCCGGUUGCAGCUCAUCGCGGCAGCACUGUCGGCGCCGUAGCAAAACAGUUUGCCGGUUGCAGCUUUUUAUUUUGCCGGUUCCAGCUGCUGGCGCAACCAAUAGCAGCACCGGAGCUCGCCGGUUCCAGCGGACGAUGGGUGGACUGCAGCGGUGGUCCUAAGGGGCAGCGACGGCGUGGGCUCGCAGCAUCACUGGUGUGCCCGACCUUGCCUUGGGUACUGAUGGAAGAAGGGAGGCCAGAGGUAGAAGAAGAAAUUGGGGACGAAGAGAUACACAGGGUAAAGCCAGAUGUGGACGAGAGAGGAUAA
This 432-nucleotide ribosomal RNA is filed under the name Triticum aestivum (bread wheat). Its description in RNAcentral is "partial small subunit ribosomal RNA". The record is from RNAcentral. Lineage: Eukaryota; Viridiplantae; Streptophyta; Magnoliopsida; Poales; Poaceae.